This 302-nucleotide ribosomal RNA is filed under the name uncultured bacterium. RNAcentral describes it as "bacterial SSU rRNA". It matches the Rfam family "Bacterial small subunit ribosomal RNA", at positions 28 to 334 of the family's 1533-position model. The record is from RNAcentral.
GAUGAACGCUAGCUACAGGCUUAACACAUGCAAGUCGAACGGUAACAGGUCUUCGGACGCUGACGAGUGGCGAACGGGUGAGUAAUACAUCGGAACGUGCCCAGUCGUGGGGGAUAACUACUCGAAAGAGUAGCUAAUACCGCAUACGAUCUGAGGAUGAAAGCGGGGGACCUUCGGGCCUCGCGCGAUUGGAGCGGCCGAUGGCAGAUUAGGUAGUUGGUGGGAUAAAAGCUUACCAAGCCGACGAUCUGUAGCUGGUCUGAGAGGACGACCAGCCACACUGGGACUGAGACACGGCCCAG